Molecule: ribosomal RNA, 253 nt
Filed under: uncultured bacterium
Lineage: Bacteria
Description: partial 16S ribosomal RNA
Rfam family: Bacterial small subunit ribosomal RNA
Source: RNAcentral
UACGGAGGGUGCGAGCGUUAUUCGGAAUUACUGGGCGUAAAGCGCGUGUAGGCGGGGAGGCAAGUCUGAUGUGAAAGCCCCGGGCUUAACCUGGGAAGUGCAUUGGAAACUGCUUUUCUUGAGUGCUGGAGAGGAAGGGGGAAUUCCCGGUGUAGAGGUGAAAUUCGUAGAGAUCGGGAGGAAUACCAGUGGCGAAGGCGCCCUUCUGGACGGCAACUGACGAUGAGACGCGAAAGCGUGGGGAGCAAACAGG